GACGAACGCUGGCGGCGUGCCUAAUACAUGCAAGUAGAACGCACAGUUUAUACCGUAGCUUGCUACACCAUAGACUGUGAGUUGCGAACGGGUGAGUAACGCGUAGGUAACCUGCCUGGUAGCGGGGGAUAACUAUUGGAAACGAUAGCUAAUACCGCAUAAUAUUGAUUAUUGCAUGAUAAUUGAUUGAAAGAUGCUAUUGCAUCACUACCAGAUGGACCUGCGUUGUAUUAGCUAGUAGGCGAGGUAACGGCUCACCUAGGCGACGAUACAUAGCCGACCUGAGAGGGUGAUCGGCCACACUGGGACUGAGACACGGCCCAGACUCCUACGGGAGGCAGCAGUAGGGAAUCUUCGGCAAUGGACGAAAGUCUGACCGAGCAACGCCGCGUGAGUGAAGAAGGUUUUCGGAUCGUAAAGCUCUGUUGUAAGAGAAGAACGGGUGUGAGAGUGGAAAGUUCACACUGUGACGGUAGCUUACCAGAAAGGGACGGCUAACUACGUG
This 505-nucleotide ribosomal RNA is filed under the name uncultured bacterium. Its description in RNAcentral is "partial 16S ribosomal RNA". It matches the Rfam family "Bacterial small subunit ribosomal RNA", at positions 28 to 507 of the family's 1533-position model. The record is from RNAcentral.